GGCGCACGGGUGAGUAACGCGUUUGUACCUACCUCUGUCUGGAGAAUAGGCCGAAGAAAUUCGGAUUAAUGCUCCGUAACACCAUGAUGAGGCAUCUCGUCAUGGUCAAAGCUCCGGCGGUCAGAGAUGGACAUGCGUAACAUUAGCUUGUUGGUGAGGUUACGGCUCACCAAGGCUACGAUGUUUAGGGGGUCUGAGAGGAUGGUCCCCCACACUGGUACUGAGACACGGACCAGACUUCUACGGAAGGCAGCAGUGAGGAAUAUUGGUCAAUGGGCGAAAGCCUGAACCAGCCAUGCCGCGUGAAGGAGGACAGCCCUACGGGUUGUAAACUUCUUUUGUACGGGAAGAAACACUUCUACGUGUAGAAGCUUGACGGUACCGUACGAAUAAGCAUCGGCUAACUCCGUGCCAGCAGCCGCGGUAAUACGGAGGAUGCAAGCGUUAUCCGGAUUCAUUGGGUUUAAAGGGUACGUAGGCGGAAGAUUAAGUCAGUGGUGAAAUCCUGCAGCUUAACUGUAGAACUGUCAUUGAUACUGAUCUUCUUGAAUAUAGUUGAGGUAGGCGGAAUGUGUAAUGUAGCGGUGAAAUGCUUAGAUAUUACACAGAACACCGAUUGCGAAGGCAGCUUACUAAACUAUGAUUGACGCUGAGGUACGAAAGCGUGGGGAGCGAACAGGAUUAGAUACCCUGGUAGUCCACGCUGUAAACGAUGAUCACUCGUUGUUGGCGAUAUAGUGUCAGCGACUGAGCGAAAGUAUUAAGUGAUCCACCUGGGGAGUACGAUCGCAAGAUUGAAACUCAAAGGAAUUGACGGGGGCCCGCACAAGCGGAGGAACAUGUGGUUAAAUUCGAUGAUACGCGAGGAACCUUACCUGGGCUUAAAUGUAGAACGACGGAUCGGGAAACUGAUCCUUCUUCGGACGGUCUGCAAGGUGCUGCAUGGCUGUCGUCAGCUCGUGCCGUGAGGUGUCGGGUUAAGUCCCAUAACGAGCGCAACCCUCAUCAUUAGUUGCCAGCGGGUAAUGCCGGGGACUCUAAUGAAACUGCCGGUGUAAACCGAGAGGAAGGUGGGGAUGACGUCAAGUCAGCACGGCCCUUAUGUCCAGGGCUACACACGUGUUACAAUG
This 1130-nucleotide ribosomal RNA is filed under the name uncultured organism. RNAcentral describes it as "bacterial SSU rRNA". It matches the Rfam family "Bacterial small subunit ribosomal RNA", at positions 97 to 1232 of the family's 1533-position model. The record is from RNAcentral.